AAAUCACGAGACCAACACGCGAUAACAAUCCACUAUGAAAUAAAAGAUUACAAGGUGAUUUACCGAAUCCACGGACUCAAACCUCUCUUUUAUCUUCUCCGGAUCUCACGCACACCAACGGGUUGUCCACGCCCCACAUCCGAAUCCACGAACGCCACGUCCCGAAUCCACGAAGCCUUGAUCACGCCGAAUCCACAACGCCCACUCGAAUCCACGAGCACACUCCGUCCGGAGCAAGAACAAUACGAUCGAUGAUGAUUUAUUGCUUAGAUAAUCAUUAAAGAACCGUAGAAGAUGUUUCUAAGCAAGAGCCGGAUCAAUUCUCCAUGAAGAACAAGAAAUUAGGGUUUUAAGAAUUGAUCUGAUAAAAAUUGUUGUUGGAGAAAGAAAGAGAACACCCAACAAGCUUCUAGGGUUUCAAAAUGAUAUUCUAUGCUUAGCCAUGUUUUAGAAACACCCCUACAUCUUAUUUAUAGGUUUAGAAGACUUAGAAAUAGACUAGGAUUUGAAAAACCGAUCUUUAAAAAACAAAAGACGGUCUCAGGGUCCGGACCUUACGUAGGGUCCGGACCUUGAAGGUCCGGAUCUUGACUUCAGGGUCCGGACCCUCCCUGCGUAACCACAAAUACAACGUACGGGGUCCGGACCUUAACUCGAGAGUCCGGACCCUCGCUGCGUGUUUGAAAAUCCGAUCUACGGGGUCCGGACCUUAGCUCUAGGGUUCGGACCCUCGCUGCAUACACGCAGAGAGGACCUUCGGGGUCCGGACCUUGAUCCCAGGGUCCGGAUCUCGAACCUUGAAAAACUCUGUUUUGAAAUAUUAUCAUUUUAAACCUAUUCUAAUGUCUUCUAAACACUUGAAAAUAUUAAUAAAUCAUCAUCAAUAGUAUUUAAACUUAUCGAGCAUUGUGGAUCUAUGUUUUCAGUCUUCGAGUCUUCGAUCUUUGUCCAUUCUUCUCUAAUCUUUCAAGACUCCAACUUACUUCACGAAAUAUACCAACAUAAAAUCCGUAACAAUCUCCCCCUUUGGUAAUUUUGUGACAAAACUCAAAAAUACAUCAAAAUACUCACAACGCUUAACUCUCCAACCAAAAAAAAAUGAAAUUCAUUGCCAUCACCAAAACAAUGAACUUCUCAUGUGAAAAAUCCAAAGAAAAUAUAAAAUUACAAUUUUGCAACCCCUAAACAAACUCUAUGACUUAAACACAAGGAGUCUUGAAGUCUUCAAGAAUCUGCAGAAAGAAUACUUUCUUCUCGAACAAAGUUAGUAAAAAAAAAUGAAAAUCUCUCCCCCUUUGUUCAUGAAAAUCUCUCCCCCUUUGUUCAUGCGUCUAAUGAUCAAUAAAAUCUAAAAUCUCACUUCUCUUCCCUUUUUUGUCAAAAAUUGCCAAAACGAAGUACCAAAAUAGAGAGAGUACCAAUAAUGUUAGUGCAUGAAUAGUAUAAAUUCACAUAGACUUCAUUCAAUCCACAUCAAUUUCAUAGAAAUUAAGAAUUUCACUAUAAGAUCACCAAGAUGUAGAUAAAAUAUACUAAAAUUUUUUUAUUCAUAUAUACUUCAAAAUCAAGUCAUCAAAAAUAAUCUAAAGGCUCAAAAUCUAUCAAGAUAUAACGGAUUAUAAAGAUGACUUAUGAAGAUUCACCAAAUGACAGAAAUUUGUCGCAUAAACGUUCAAAUUCAAGAUUAAGCAAUAAUGUACCAGGGGUGGCUCUUUGAGCAUCUUUUUACUAAACCACCUUAUUACACCAAAAACUCUUUAUAUAAUAUGAACAUAUUUUCAACCUUUUCGAUUAUGCACUAGAAUUUCAUGUGGUAGCUUCACAUACUUACCGGACGACCGGGGUGAUAGCUCUUUUCUAUAUGUGGUAGUAGUUUUCACACUCCUUUUGGGAUGUAACUCUUUCCACAUCUUUUAAGCACUUGGAGUGUUUAACCUUUUUCAUUCAUUCAUUUUUUAUGUAUAACUCCCCCUUAAUUAUGCAAUCUCUUAUUUGAAAGAAAAAUUUGAUAAGUUUUAGUCUAUUAGCAAUUUUUCAUUCAUCAAAUUCAACACACACAACCGAGAUAGGUUAAGUGUCUAAAGAUUACACAUGAUUACUCAAAUUUGAUGAAUAUAAGAAUUAAGAUAUUCUAUUAUAAAUUAUCUUCAUAAAUAGUGAUAAUGAAGUGAAACCGAUAAUUAAUAUGAAAUUAAUGAAUGUAAAUUAUCAGUGUUCAACGCACUAUUUAAUGUUUAAUCACCGAAUGAAUCUCAAAAAAUUUGAAGCACAUGUAAUGCAAUGAUCAAAAGAUAUGUAAUAAAACCGAUCAUAGCAAAACAUAAAGUCAAACACAAAUUAAGACUUAAGACAAGGAAAGUUAUCACAUUUUCGAAUCCAAACUUGCCGGAUUAUUGGUUGUCUUGAUUUGUUGCGGUCGGGUACCGAUGGUUUAAACGUUGGUUGAUCCGAGGUACUCGACUCGAUUGAUGUUGCUUUGGAAUCCGUAGGGGAAGUCGAGUAUUGGAAGAUGUCGAUAGAUGCUUAGACAAUGCCGGUUGAUGUUUCUUUUUCUUAUUAGGGCAUGUUUUCUUUAUGUGUCCUUUGCAACCACAUCUAUGGCAAAUUUUCUCUUUCAAAUUUGUUGAGACUUUAUGAAUUGCCUUUUGAUCCUUCUCAACAUAAGUCCUUUCAUAACCAAGCCCAAGUUUAUCCGUUUGACCCAAUCCGAGCAUAUGGUCUAGCUUUUUUGACCCGGAGGAAAACUUUUGAAUGUCGGAUUUAAGAUGAUAAACUUGUUUGGUCAAAACUUGAUUGGAUGAACGAAUUUCUUCAUAUUGUUGUUCUAGAAAACCAACCUUUUCUUGAUGUGAUUUGAUCGUUAUCUCUGAUUGGUUGAGCUUCUCUUGGAGAAUUGUAUUAUUAUUCAAUACUUGCUCCCUUUCCUCCUCAAGAGUUUUAGAUGCAUUCUUCAAGUCAGUGUUCUCAUCUUCAAGCUCAAGUAGUCGUUUUCUUAGCCUUUUGUUAUUCUUGGCCAUCUUCUUUGAUUCUUUGAGAAGUUGUUGGUAUGCCUCGGCCAAGCUUUCAUCAUCCGACUCCCCCUCACUCUCGCCAUCAUCGCUCGACGUUCCAUGUAAGGAAGUAGAAACAAAAGAGUCAGAAAUAAUUGAAGAUAAACAAAAAGUCGAAGAGGAAGGUAUAAAGGUUUGAGAACUUAAAGCAACAUUAAUUUUCUCCUCUUCACUUGAGGUCGGUUCGUCAGAAGUAGAAUCGUCCCAAGUUUUUGCUUGCAAAGCCUUUUGUUUGUAAGAUCUUUUAGAAGGACAAUCCGUGGAAAUAUGGCCGUAGCCUUUACAUUUGUAACAUUGGAUUUUCCCUUCAAAAUCAUCUUUUUCUUUAGAAGGUUUUGCAAGUUUUUUGUCUUUCAAUUUAGAAAUCGAAGAUUGUUUAGAAAACGAUUUUUGUUUCGAGGAUGAAGCUUUGUUUUUCCGAAAGUUCCGUCGAAAUUUCUUCGUUAAGAGCGUCAGUUGAUGUUCAAAAUCAGCAAGCGAAAUAUCUUCGUCGGAAUCCGAGUCGUCGUCUCCUUCCUUUGUAGAUUUGAGUGCAAUCCCUGUACUUUUAGAAAAAGACUUGGAAGAAGAAUGGUUAGUAGGAAAAGUCAUCUCACAAGUUUGCAAAGCACCUACUAACUCUUCGACUUUCAUCUCAUUCGGAUGCUUUACAGUUUCGAUCGCGGCAACUUUUGCCCGAAAGCGUUCCGGAAGAGUGCGAAGGAUCUUUCUAACAAGUUUAGCAUCCGGGAUUUUCUCUCCCAAGUUCGCGCAUGUAUUAACAACGUCUUGUAGACGCGUAUAGUACUCGGUAAAGGUCUCGUUUUCUUCCAUAAAAAUCUAGUCAAAUUUACUUAUUAACAUUUAUAAUUUUUGGAUAUUUACUAAGCUAGUUCCUUCAUGCGUAACUUGUAGAGUAUCCCAAAUCUCUUUGGCGGUACUAUACACCGAAACACGAGUAAACUCCAUUUGAGACAAUGCAUUAAAUAAAGCGUUUAUGCCCUUGCCGUUAAACGAAGAUGACUCGUUCUCAUCUUUGGUCCACUUGUUCCGCGGUUUAGGGACGGUAGCAUUAUCGACAACUUCGGUAGGAUGUUUCCAUCCGAAUUCAAUUGCUUGCCAAACCCGUUCAUCGAUUGCAAUUAGAAAAGCUCUCAUGCGAAUUUUUCAAUAGGCAUAAUUCGUGCCAUCGAAGAGAGGUGGUCGAUUAAUGUUACCGCCUUCGGCCAUUAGAAAUCAAUUUAUCUAGAUCCCUGCUCUGAUACCAAUUGAAAGAAUUGAGGGAGCCCUAGGAUCUUUUAUCUAGAUACUAUCAAACACCUAGAGGAGGGUGAAUAGGUGUAAUAGCAAAAAACCACAACUCUCAAUGCGAUAAAAUAAAUGCGGAAAAUAAAAAUCACACCGAAAUUUACGUGGAAAACUCCAACUAGGAGUAAAAAACCACGGGACCAACACACGAUAACAAUCCACUAUGAAAUAAAAGAUUACAAGGUGAUUUACCGAAUCCACGGACUCAAACCUCUCUUUUAUCUUCUUCGGAUUUCGCGCACACCAACGCGUUGUCCACGCCCAGCGUCCAAAUCCACGAACGCCACGUCCCGAAUCCACGAAGCCUUGAUCACGCUGAAUCCACGACGCCCACUCGAAUCCACGAGCACACUCCGUCCGGAGCAAGAACAAAACGAUUGAUGAUGAUUUAUUGCUUAGAUAAUCAUUAAAGAACCGUAGAAGAUGUUGGAUCAAUUCUCCAUGAAGAACAAGAAAUUAGGGUUUCAAGAAUUGAUCUGAUAAAAACUUGUUGUUGGAGAA
RNAcentral lists this long non-coding RNA (4838 nucleotides) under Ananas comosus (pineapple). RNAcentral describes it as "long non-coding RNA (ACOM_LNC017876)". The record is from RNAcentral. Lineage: Eukaryota; Viridiplantae; Streptophyta; Magnoliopsida; Poales; Bromeliaceae.